RNAcentral lists this ribosomal RNA (253 nucleotides) under uncultured bacterium. Its description in RNAcentral is "partial 16S ribosomal RNA". It matches the Rfam family "Bacterial small subunit ribosomal RNA", at positions 524 to 776 of the family's 1533-position model. The record is from RNAcentral.
UACAGAGGUCCCAAGCGUUGUUCGGAUUCACUGGGCGUAAAGGGUGCGUAGGUGGUGAGGUAAGUCGGAUGUGAAAUCUCCGAGCUCAACUCGGAGAUGGCAUUGGAAACUACCUUGCUCGAGGGUUGGAGGGGGGACUGGAAUGCUUGGUGUAGCAGUGAAAUGCGUAGAUAUCAAGCGGAACACCAGUGGCGAAGGCGAGUCCCUGGACAACUCCUGACACUGAGGCACGAAAGCUAGGGGAGCAAACAGG